AGGGAAUCUUCCACAAUGGACGCAAGUCUGAUGGAGCAACGCCGCGUGAGUGAAGAAGGUUUUCGGAUCGUAAAGCUCUGUUGUUGGUGAAGAAGGAUAGAGGCAGUAACUGGUCUUUAUUUGACGGUAAUCAACCAGAAAGUCACGGCUAACUACGUGCCAGCAGCCGCGGUAAUACGUAAGUGGCAAGCGUUGUCCGGAUUUAUUGGGCGUAAAGCGAGCGCAGGCGGAAUGAUAAGUCUGAUGUGAAAGCCCACGGCUCAACCGUGGAACUGCAUCGGAAACUGUCAUUCUUGAGUGCAGAAGAGGAGAGUGGAACUCCAUGUGUAGCGGUGGAAUGCGUAGAUAUAUGGAAGAACACCAGUGGCGAAGGCGGCUCUCUGGUCUGCAACUGACGCUGAGGCUCGAAAGCAUGGGUAGCGAACAGGAUUAGAUACCCUGGUAGUCCAUGCCGUAAACGAUGAGCGCUAGGUGUUGGGGACUUUCCGGUCCUCAGUGCCGCAGCAAACGCAUUAAGCGCUCCGCCUGGGGAGUACGACC
Molecule: ribosomal RNA, 540 nt
Filed under: uncultured bacterium
Lineage: Bacteria
Description: partial 16S ribosomal RNA
Rfam family: Bacterial small subunit ribosomal RNA
Source: RNAcentral